UAAUACGAAGGGGGCUAGCGUUGUUCGGAAUGACUGGGCGUAAAGGGCGCGUAGGCGGCGCAUCAAGUCGGGCGUGAAAGCCCCGGGCUCAACCUGGGAACUGCGUUCGAGACUGGUGCGCUGGAGUUCGGGAGAGGAGAGUGGAAUUCCCAGUGUAGAGGUGAAAUUCGUAGAUAUUGGGAAGAACACCGAUGGCGAAGGCAGCUCUCUGGACCGAUACUGACGCUGAGGCGCGAAAGCGUGGGGAGCAAACAGG
This 256-nucleotide ribosomal RNA is filed under the name uncultured bacterium. Its description in RNAcentral is "partial 16S ribosomal RNA". It matches the Rfam family "Bacterial small subunit ribosomal RNA", at positions 521 to 776 of the family's 1533-position model. The record is from RNAcentral.